RNAcentral lists this ribosomal RNA (498 nucleotides) under uncultured bacterium. RNAcentral's name for it is "bacterial SSU rRNA". It matches the Rfam family "Bacterial small subunit ribosomal RNA", at positions 20 to 518 of the family's 1533-position model. The record is from RNAcentral.
UGGCUCAGGACGAACGCUGGCGGCGUGCCUAACACAUGCAAGUCGAGCGGAGUUAACAAGAGGAAGUUUCGGAUGGAAUUUGUAAUUAGCGGCGGACGGGUGAGUAACGCGUGAGCGACCAACCUUGCACAGGGGGAUAACGGACCGAAAGGUUCACUAAUAUCGCAUGAGACCACGGUGUUGCAUGACACAGAGGUCAAAGGAGCAAUCCGGUGCAAGACGGGCUCGCGUCCGAUUAGGUAGUUGGUGGGGUAAUGGCCCACCAAGCCUAUGAUCGGUAGCCGACCUGAGAGGGUGAUCGGCCACAUUGGAACUGAGAUACGGUCCAAACUCCUACGGGAGGCAGCAGUGGGGAAUAUUGGGCAAAUGGGGGAAACCCUGACCCAGCAACGCCGCGUGAAGGAAGAAGGUUUUCGGAUUGUAAACUUCUGUCCUUGGUGAAGAGAAGAAGACGGUAGCCAAGGAGGAAGCCCCGGCUAACUACGUGCCAGCCGCAGC